GAUGAAGAACGUAGCUAAAUGCGAUACUUGGUGUGAAUUGCAGAAUCCCGUGAACCAUCGAGUCUUUGAACGCAAGUUGCGCCCGAAGCCAUUAGGCCGAGGGCACGCCUGCCUGGGCGUCACACGUCGUUGCCCCCCCAUCUACUCCUUCGGGAUUGCGGGGGGCGGAUGAUGGCCUCCCGUGCGCCUCGUCGCGCGGUUGGCAUAAAUGCCAAGUCCUCGGCGACGCACGCCACGACAAUCGGUGGUUGCGAAACCUCGGUUGCCCGUCGUGUGCGGUCGUCGCGCAUCGAGGGCUCGAAAAAAUUGCCGGGCUCCGGCUCGGCUUUCAACGCGACCCCAGGUCAGGCGGGGUUACCCGCUGAAUUUAAGCAUAUCAAUAAGCGGAGGA
RNAcentral lists this unclassified non-coding RNA (391 nucleotides) under soil metagenome. RNAcentral's name for it is "partial contains 5.8S ribosomal RNA, internal transcribed spacer 2, and large subunit ribosomal RNA". The stretch from base 1 to 122 matches the Rfam family "5.8S ribosomal RNA", at positions 35 to 154 of the family's 154-position model. The record is from RNAcentral.